GCUUCCCCUGCUAUCUUGACAUUUUUUAAGCCAAACCUCUUUCUGAAAUUAUCAAACCAACCUUUGCUGGCACUAAAUUCUCCAGCCUUGGAUCCUUCACCUUCCUUUUGCUGUAAGUGGUCAUACAAUGACUUUGCUUUUUCUCGAAUCGUGUUCGAGUCUAUAGGUAUGCCUUUCUUAUAGCAAUCCUGCACCCACGUAAAAGCUGCAUUUUCAAUACGAGAUAAAAAGCUGUCUCGCAGAAAGUGCAACGUUCUCGCGCCUGCUGGCGUAGCUGCCGCCACAGCCUCAUGGAUUUCCUUUUCCUUUUUUACAAUGGUCCUUACGCUGGAUUCAUUCAUCUUGAAAUGACGGGCCACUGCAGCCGCAGACCUUAAUCUACGGUACAUGUCAAGCAAUUCGACUUUUUCUUGUAAUGUCAUGACCUUUCUCUGCCUCUUGGGAGCACUUCCAGAAUCACCAGUGGCGUUUCGUAUGGGUCCCAUGGUGUUAUUCAAGGUUUACAGUAUUGCGCUAAACAUGAUGAAAACUAUGCAAGAACCACGGGAUCACUUUUUACAGCCAUUUGAAAUUUACGAGUGACGAACUGAUCUCGAGGAGAGGAUUAGCAACACACGGUUUUAAGCUUGGAAAUCACAACACUUGAGAUCACCACAGCAAGAGGAGGUGGCUAUGAUAUUCUUACAGUCGUAGAGUAUGUACUGCAGUUAAUUUUAUGCAGUUAUUUAAUACUGCAUCUUUGUUUCCAUUUCUCUCAAUUAUGAAUGAUGCCAUGUACAGUCUGUACACUUUGAUAAACCUUUUUGUAACAAACUUGUGUAUACUUCAUGGAAGUAAAUGAUAACCUAGCAUCUAC
Molecule: long non-coding RNA, 856 nt
Organism: Leopardus geoffroyi (Geoffroy's cat)
Lineage: Eukaryota; Metazoa; Chordata; Mammalia; Carnivora; Felidae
Exons: 2
Source: RefSeq, a predicted model, not a curated record